CACUCGAUGGCGCAUGGCGUGCGCCUGCUGGAUUUACUUGAUCUUGAGAGCUAUUGGUUGUUAGCAGGAGGUCUCGGUUCGAUUCCGGGUCGGGUGU
Non-coding RNA from Mycena filopes, 97 nucleotides. The record is from the annotation of a GenBank genome assembly. Lineage: Eukaryota; Fungi; Basidiomycota; Agaricomycetes; Agaricales; Mycenaceae.